This 334-nucleotide unclassified non-coding RNA is filed under the name Hevea brasiliensis (rubber tree). Lineage: Eukaryota; Viridiplantae; Streptophyta; Magnoliopsida; Malpighiales; Euphorbiaceae. The record is from RNAcentral.
GGGUCCUAAAAAAAUUCUGCACUGAAUUGCUCAGCAAAGCAAACAUAAUUACUAAAAGAAUGUCUUCAAGUGGAGUAAUUAUUUGCAAAUUUGUCCAAUAUGAACACAUUAUUUAUCAAAUCGAGAUAAAUGCAAGUGCCUAGACAUUAUUAUGCCUCAAAAGUAAUGAUUUUACCCUAUAGCAUCAAAUUUUAACUAGAUUGUCAACUGUUAGAUUAAAACAUUGCUGCAAACUACAACAUCUAUUCAUGCAACUGUAUGUGGUCAUAUAACUACACUAAAGUGUAACCAUUUUCUUAUUCAUACCUAAUUAGAUACCAGAAAAGAAGUUGAU